RNAcentral lists this ribosomal RNA (235 nucleotides) under uncultured bacterium. Its description in RNAcentral is "partial 16S ribosomal RNA". It matches the Rfam family "Bacterial small subunit ribosomal RNA", at positions 96 to 334 of the family's 1533-position model. The record is from RNAcentral.
CGGCGAACGGGUGAGUAACGCGUAGGAAUCUGCCUGGUAGAGGGGGAUAGCUCGGGGAAACUCGAAUUAAUACCGCAUACGCCCUACGGGGGAAAGCAGGGGAUCUUCGGACCUUGCACUAUCAGAUGAGCCUGCGUCGGAUUAGCUAGUUGGUGGGGUAAAGGCCCACCAAGGCGACGAUCCGUAACUGGUCUGAGAGGAUGAUCAGCCACACUGGGACUGAGACACGGCCCAG